This 432-nucleotide ribosomal RNA is filed under the name uncultured bacterium. RNAcentral describes it as "bacterial SSU rRNA". It matches the Rfam family "Bacterial small subunit ribosomal RNA", at positions 340 to 786 of the family's 1533-position model. The record is from RNAcentral.
UACGGGAGGCAGCAGUGGGGAAUAUUGCACAAUGGGCGGAAGCCUGAUGCAGCGACGCCGCGUGGGGGAUGACGGCCUUCGGGUUGUAAACUCCUUUCGACAGGGACGAAGCGCAAGUGACGGUACCUGUAUAAGAAGCACCGGCUAACUACGUGCCAGCAGCCGCGGUAAUACGUAGGGUGCGAGCGUUAAUCGGAAUUACUGGGCGUAAAGGGCACGCAGGCGGUUAAUUAAGUUGGAUGUGAAAUCCCCGGGCUUAACCUGGGAAUGGCAUUCAAGACUGGUUAGCUAGAGUCUUGUAGAGGGGGUAGAAUUCCAUGUGUAGCGGUGAAAUGCGUAGAGAUGUGGAGGAAUACCGGUGGCGAAGGCGGCCCCUGGACAAAGCUGACGCUCAUGUGCGAAAGCGUGGGGAGCAAACAGGGAUUAGAUACC